AUACGGAGGAUCCUAGUGUUAUCCGGAUUUAUUGGGUUUAAAGGGAGCGUAGGCGGGAGGUCAAGUCAGCUGUGAAAUGUAUCUGCUUAACGGGUACACUGCAGUUGAAACUGGUUUUCUUGAGUGCGUAAGAGGCAGGCGGAAUUCGUUGUGUAGCGGUGAAAUGCUUAGAUAUGACGAGGAACUCCUAUUGCGAAGGCAGCUUGCUGGGUCGUUACUGACGCUGAUGCUCGAAGGUGCGGGGAUCAAACAGGAUUAGAUACCCUGGUAGUCCGCACAGUAAACUAUGGAUACUCUCUACCGGCGAUAUAUUGUCGGUGGCCAAGCGAAAGCGUUAAGUAUCCCACCUGGGGAGUACGUUCGCAAGAAUGAAACUCAAAGGAAUUGGCGGGG
RNAcentral lists this ribosomal RNA (393 nucleotides) under uncultured bacterium. Its description in RNAcentral is "partial 16S ribosomal RNA". It matches the Rfam family "Bacterial small subunit ribosomal RNA", at positions 523 to 918 of the family's 1533-position model. The record is from RNAcentral.